RNAcentral lists this ribosomal RNA (460 nucleotides) under uncultured bacterium. RNAcentral describes it as "partial 16S ribosomal RNA". It matches the Rfam family "Bacterial small subunit ribosomal RNA", at positions 338 to 795 of the family's 1533-position model. The record is from RNAcentral.
CCUACGGGAGGCAGCAGUGAGGAAUAUUGGUCAAUGGGCGUGAGCCUGAACCAGCCAAGUAGCGUGAAGGAUGACUGCCCUACGGGUUGUAAACUUCUUUUAUACAGGAAUAAAGUGCGGCACGUGUGCCUUUUUGUAUGUACUUCAUGAAUAAGGAUCGGCUAAUUCCGUGCCAGCAGCCGCGGUAAUACGGAGGAUCCGAGCGUUAUCCGGAUUUAUUGGGUUUAAAGGGAGCGUAGGUGGGUUGUUAAGUCAGUUGUGAAAGUCUGCGGCUCAACCGUAAAAUUGCAAUUGAUACUGGCAGCCUUGAGUGCGGGUAAGGUAGGCGGAAUUCGUGGUGUAGCGGUGAAAUGCUUAGAUAUCACGAAGAACUCCGAUUGCGAAGGCAGCCUACUAAACUGCCACUGACGUUGAUGCUCGAAGGUGUGGGUAUCGAACAGGAUUAGAUACCCGAGUAGUC